Molecule: ribosomal RNA, 492 nt
Filed under: uncultured bacterium
Lineage: Bacteria
Description: partial 16S ribosomal RNA
Rfam family: Bacterial small subunit ribosomal RNA
Source: RNAcentral
AGUGAACGCUGGCGGUAGGCCUAACACAUGCAAGUCGAACGGCAGCACAGUAAGAGCUUGCUCUUACGGGUGGCGAGUGGCGGACGGGUGAGGAAUACAUCGGAAUCUACUUUUUCGUGGGGGAUAACGUAGGGAAACUUACGCUAAUACCGCAUACGACCUACGGGUGAAAGCAGGGGAUCUUCGGACCUUGCGCGAUUGAAUGAGCCGAUGUCGGAUUAGCUAGUUGGCGGGGUAAAGGCCCACCAAGGCGACGAUCCGUAGCUGGUCUGAGAGGAUGAUCAGCCACACUGGAACUGAGACACGGUCCAGACUCCUACGGGAGGCAGCAGUGGGGAAUAUUGGACAAUGGGCGCAAGCCUGAUCCAGCCAUACCGCGUGGGUGAAGAAGGCCUUCGGGUUGUAAAGCCCUUUUGUUGGGAAAGAAAAGCAGCAGGUUAAUACCCCGCUGUCCUGACGGUACCCAAAGAAUAAGCACCGGUUAACUUCGUG